GUGACAGAUAUAUUUAGAUUGACUUUUGCAAUGUUUACUCGCACGCUCAAAUGUUCAACGUUAGUCUCUUGGUGUUCUGUCAGUGGGUUGCAAAAAGUUUUUGAUGUAAAGGGCGACGCCACCACCUCUAGUGUUAACACAAUCUUUUUUGAAGAGUGUAGCCAUGUAGUAAUUCACUUUAUUAUGGCCUUCCUAAUAUCUGCUGAAGAAAUUACAACUUGUCAUGAACAGAGCUGCAAGGCUAAUAAAGGCUCUGCCCCUCGUGAGAGAGUAACACUUGCACUUAUAGACUUGCAAUGGCUACCCAUUAAGGCACGAAUAGUCUACAAAAAAUGUGUCUUGACUUACCAAGCAAAGCGACUUGGUAAACCUGGAUAUAUGAGAAAUUUACUGCAAGAAUUUCAUUCGACACCGCCAUGUCAGUGACACAGUGCAGAACAGCACAGACUCUAUGAGCCAAGGGUCAACCUGGAACUGGGUUUCAUAGCAUUUCAGAAGAGUGCCCCGCGGCUUUAUAAUGAGUUACCCGGGGAUGUUAACCCGUAGCGUACCGCCCUAUGUGAUACAAAAGUGGCCCCCAGUACCGCACUGGGAGUAAUUUUUUUUAUUGGCUAAAUCCCUUCAAAAUGACCCCAGUACAAUGGCGUAGUAAGGGGGGGGGGCGGGGGAGGCGGUCGCCCCCGGGUGACAGCUUGAAGGGGGUGCCAUGAUACAGGCUCAGGUCUAAUGGCUAAAUUCAGUGACGUAGCUAAGGGAAGGGGUGCUGGGGUCAUAUAAGAAGAUACCCCCCCAGGCCCCCAACAAAGGGACCUGCUGCCCCCCCCAAAUGGUCCAUUUGGGAGCCCCCUUUUGUUGCCAUACUCAUUUGUAGAAGCUAGUGUGUGGGGGGAACCCCACAAGGAGACAAGACCCCCGGGCCCCCGCCCCCCAGAUCUCCAGCCAUGCCGGCAUAUAUAAUAUCGCUGUGGAUAAUGAUGGAGUUUUGAUUACCCAGCUCCUGCCACGCGUGAGUGACGGCGCCUUGUGUUUCAUAUGAGUGUAGCAGAUGAAUUGCUUUGCUUGUAGCAGAGAUGCUAUUUACUAUACAAAACAUAUUUUUGCAUAAUGUUGAAGCUAAAAAACUGUACUCUAUCAUGUGAUGUUAAAAACCUGAAUGUAAAUGUUUGUUGUAGCAUGAAUCUCGCUGAACAGUAUCAUAGGUAGGUGAGAGGGGAGACGCCUAAGUGUUUGUUGUAGCAUGAAUCUCGCUGAACAGUAUCGUAGGUAGGUGAGAGGGGAGACGCCUGAGUGUUUGUUGUAGCAUGAAUCUCGCUGAACAGUAUCGUAGGUAGGUGAGAGGGGAGACGCCUAAGUGUUUGUUGUAGCAUGAAUCUCGCUGAACAGUAUCGUAGGUAGGUGAGAGGGGAGACGCCUAAGUGUUUGUUGUAGCAUGAAUCUCGCUGAACAGUAUCGUAGGUAGGUGAGAGGGGAGACGCCUGUGUUUGUUGUAGCAUGAAUCUCGCUGAACAGUAUCGUAGGUAGGUGAGAGGGGAGACGCCUAAGUGUUUGUUGUAGCAUGAAUCUCGCUGAACAGUAUCGUAGGUAGGUGAGAGGGGAGACGCCUAAGUGUUUGUUGUAGCAUGAAUCUCGCUGAACAGUAUCGUAGGUAGGUGAGAGGGGAGACGCCUAAGUGUUUGUUGUAGCAUGAAUCUCGCUGAACAGUAUCGUAGGUAGGUGAGAGGGGAGACGCCUAAGUGUUUGUUGUAGCAUGAAUCUCGCUGAACAGUAUCGUAGGUAGGUGAGAGGGGAGACGCCUGUGUUUGUUGUAGCAUGAAUCUCGCUGAACAGUAUCGUAGGUAGGUGAGAGGGGAGACGCCUAAGUGUUUGUUGUAGCAUGAAUCUCGCUGAACAGUAUCGUAGGUAGGUGAGAGGGGAGACGCCUGUGUUUGUUGUAGCAUGAAUCUCGCUGAACAGUAUCGUAGGUAGGUGAGAGGGGAGACGCCUGUGUUUGUUGUAGCAUGAAUCUCGCUGAACAGUAUCGUAGGUAGGUGAGAGGGGAGACGCCUAAGUGUUUGUUGUAGCAUGAAUCUCGCUGAACAGUAUCGUAGGUAGGUGAGAGGGGAGACGCCUAAGUGUUUGUUGUAGCAUGAAUCUCGCUGAACAGUAUCGUAGGUAGGUGAGAGGGGAGACGCCUGUGUUUGUUGUAGCAUGAAUCUCGCUGAACAGUAUCGUAGGUAGGUGAGAGGGGAGACGCCUAAGUGUUUGUUGUAGCAUGAAUCUCGCUGAACAGUAUCGUAGGUAGGUGAAAGGGGGGACGCCUGUGUUUGUUGUAGCAUGAAUCUCGUUGAACAGU
Eriocheir sinensis (Chinese mitten crab) is the source of this 2332-nucleotide long non-coding RNA. RefSeq lists it as uncharacterized. The record is from RefSeq and is a predicted model, not a curated record. Lineage: Eukaryota; Metazoa; Arthropoda; Malacostraca; Decapoda; Varunidae. The transcript has 5 exons.